This 1067-nucleotide small RNA is filed under the name uncultured fungus. Its description in RNAcentral is "eukaryotic LSU rRNA". The stretch from base 633 to 1067 matches the Rfam family "Eukaryotic large subunit ribosomal RNA", at positions 1 to 429 of the family's 3401-position model. The record is from RNAcentral. Lineage: Eukaryota; Fungi.
UCCGUAGGUGAACCUGCGGAAGGAUCAUUAAUGAAUAACUAUGGCGUUGGUUGUAGCUGGCUUCUAGGAGCAUGUGCACGCCCGUCAUUCUUAUCUUUCCACCUGUGCACUUAAUGUAGGCUUGGAUAACUCUCGCUCUCGAGCGGAUGCAAGGAUUGCUGCGUCGCCAGACCAGCUCUCUUUGAAUUUCCAGGUCUAUGUAUCUUUACACACCCCAAUUGUAAAAUGAAGAAUGUAGUCAAUGGGCUUUCAUGCCUAUAAAACAAAUACAACUUUCAGCAACGGAUCUCUUGGCUCUCGCAUCGAUGAAGAACGCAGCGAAAUGCGAUAAGUAAUGUGAAUUGCAGAAUUCAGUGAAUCAUCGAAUCUUUGAACGCACCUUGCGCUCCUUGGUAUUCCGAGGAGCAUGCCUGUUUGAGUGUCAUUAAAUUCUCAACUUCAUCAGUUUUGUUAUGAGACUGCAUGAAGCUUGGAUGUGGGGGCUUGCAGAAUCCAUCCAUGGUGUCCUGCUCUCCUUAAAUGAAUUAGCGAGUUCAAACUGGGCUCUGUCUAUUGGUGUGAUAACUAUCUACGCCGUGGAUUGAGCUUAGACUUGCUUCUAACCGUCUGAAAAAGACAACUUUUUGACAAUUUGACCUCAAAUCAGGUAGGACUACCCGCUGAACUUAAGCAUAUCAAUAAGCGGAGGAAAAGAAACUAACAAGGAUUCCCCUAGUAACUGCGAGUGAAGCGGGAAAAGCUCAAAUUUAAAAUCUGGUGGUCUUUGGCCAUCCGAGUUGUAAUCUAGAGAAGUGUUACCCGUGUCGGACCGUGUACAAGUCUCCUGGAAUGGAGCGUCAUAGAGGGUGAGAAUCCCGUCUUUGACACGGACUACCGAGGCUUUGUGGUGCGCUCUCAAAGAGUCGAGUUGUUUGGGAAUGCAGCUCAAAAUGGGUGGUAAAUUCCAUCUAAAGCUAAAUAUUGGCGAGAGACCGAUAGCGAACAAGUACCGUGAGGGAAAGAUGAAAAGAACUUUGGAAAGAGAGUUAAACAGUACGUGAAAUUGCUGAAAGGGAAACGCUUGAAGU